RNAcentral lists this ribosomal RNA (657 nucleotides) under Triticum aestivum (bread wheat). RNAcentral describes it as "partial small subunit ribosomal RNA". Lineage: Eukaryota; Viridiplantae; Streptophyta; Magnoliopsida; Poales; Poaceae. The record is from RNAcentral.
AUGGAUGUCAAGUCGGCAUUCCUCAACGGCGACUUGAAGGAGGAAGUCUACGUGCAUCAGCCACCGGGAUUUGCGAUCCCUGGCCAGGAGGGCAAGGUACUCCGCCUGCGCAAGGCCCUCUAUGGCCUACGGCAGGCACCUAGGGCGUGGAACGCCAAGCUGGACUCCACGCUAAAGAAGAUGGGCUUCGAGCAAAGCUCGCAUGAGGCGGCCGUCUACCGACGGGGCAGUGGAGGAAAUGCCCUGCUGGUGGGCGUCUAUGUUGACGACUUGGUGAUCACCGGCACCAAAGAUGCGGAGGUGGCGGCGUUCAAGGAAGACAUGAAGGCCACCUUUCAGAUGAGUGAUCUGGGGCUCCUCUCCUUCUAUCUAGGGAUUGAGGUGCACCAGGAUCACUCCGGGAUCGCACUUCGACAGUCCGCCUACGCCAAGCGCAUCGUUGAGCUAGCUGGGCUCACCGACUGCCACCCAGCCCUCACCCCGAUGGAGGAGAGGCUGAAACUGAGCCGCGACAGCACGACGGAGGAAGUGGACGCUACGCAGUACCGACGCCUUGUGGGGAGCCUUCGCUACCUCGCCCACACACGGCCGGACUUGGCCUUCUCCGUCGGCUAUGUCAGUCGUUUCAUGAAGCGACCAACGACGGAGCACCAGUAG